Long non-coding RNA from Chiloscyllium plagiosum (whitespotted bambooshark), 540 nucleotides. RefSeq lists it as uncharacterized. Lineage: Eukaryota; Metazoa; Chordata; Chondrichthyes; Orectolobiformes; Hemiscylliidae. The record is from RefSeq and is a predicted model, not a curated record.
CAACUCUCCAUACCAGGAAAAAGGAAGAAAGAAGCUGAGAGGUUUGGGUAAUGGUUUGUAAUUCGGGUGCCGGUUGACGUGGUUGUGGCUUUCCUCGCCAAGCUGUGAGGAGUUUUGAAAACAGAAAGAAAAUCGCCUUCAAGUUUAAAGAUUAUGAGAACGGCACACAAUAUGGAAAUGCGAUCUAAAAGCAACAUGUUAAUAGGUGGCAUGUGGUGAAAUGUACAAAUGUAGCACAGAUAAUGAGAAUAAUGUAAGCCACAAUAUCAAAAUCAACUGACUUUACAAUGAACAACUGAUCUCUGGUCAAAGCAGGUGGGUGACCCUGGGAGCAAGCUAUGUGGCCUCAACAAGAAAGCACAAGCUUGCUACCUGUUAGAAAUCAAAAAUGCAGUCAAACAUCAAACCUGGAAGGCCUGAAAGAGAUCAUUUUCAGAUCACAUGAAAUCAGGAUGAAUUCCAUCAAUUAAUUUGUUCUGUGUUUAACAUUUAUUUAGUGCUCAAUAUCAGUUUAUGUACUGGAUAGUAAUAAAUUGUCUC